This is a long non-coding RNA of Dicentrarchus labrax (European seabass), 4501 nucleotides long. RefSeq lists it as uncharacterized. NCBI's taxonomy places the organism in Eukaryota, Metazoa, Chordata, Actinopteri, Moronidae. The transcript is spliced from 2 exons. The record is from RefSeq and is a predicted model, not a curated record.
UCUCACGCUUUCGCCGUGUGACACACGGUUUUGCCUGUUUUCACACGCACUCACGCCACACAUCCAAUUUCUCACGCAAAAAAAAUCCGAUGUUGGGCCGUUUCGAUCCCCUGCAGUUUGUACCGUCCAAAGACAAUGUUACGCUAUAGUAAACAGAGACUCGUCAAGCACUAGGACCAAACGGAAAACGGCCGCUCAAGCUGAAGCCUGUUUCCCUUAGUUUAGACCCGCCCACAAGCUCCUCGAUUGGCUCUGCCGUUUCUUGUGUGAUUGGCCGUCCCCACUGUCACUCCAUCUUGCUUGCACACCGGUCUGCGGGAGUUGCCCAGUGACAUCUUUUGCUACCUGUGAGACCGCUCAACCUGUCCGCUGCCUGCUGACGUCACACCCCACAGGAUUCUGGGAACUGUAGUCCCAGCUCCAAAAAUGGGCUCUGGGUUCCUGCACCCCUGCAGUAGCAAUUCCUGACUCCCUCAGGAGUCAAAUUCUAACAGGUAAUCUGUUUCUCACCCAGCAAUUAAUAAAAUAAUACAUUCACAUGAACAAGUAUAUAUUGACAGGCUUAAGGAAGUUAUAGAGAAAUAGGUGGGGAAGGAAAUAAACAACAAAUAAAUAAAAUAAAUAUUGAUAAUGACAUUGUUGAUGGUAGUAAUGAUGAUGAUGAUGAUUGUGAUGUAAUGGUAUUAUAAUGGUUAUUAAGAUAAUAAUUACAAUUGCAGCUAUUAUUAUUAUUAUUAUUAUUCAAUAUGGUUCUGAUAUGCUUAAAAAGAUUUGCGAAUUGUGGAGAUUUCCCAUAGGAAGAUAGUAAUCCAGAUGUCAGAACUCAGCGUCUCUUUGGCGUCUGUAGAAACUCCAUAUGUGAAGUUAUGUGCAACGUAGAGAGGAGCUUGAUUCUUUGGCUGUAAUAUCAGUACUUGUCCUUCUAUGGUGGCUCUCUUUUAGGAGUAUCGUAAGUCCUUCUCUGCCAAAGCUGCAAUGUACAUUCAGAUUCAGUCAGAACUAGAUUGGUAUAUAGUCGUCCUGCCAUUAUCAGCAGACAUUUUACAGGUUAUAAAUUGCUAGUCUGCUAUCUUUGCAGUAAACUGCAGAGAUGUAUCGAUGCUGAGACUGAGAGUAUUAACAGCCAUUCAUUCCACUGAGGCAUUUAAAACAUAUUCUUAUUAUGAAAGUAUGAGGAUUAAUUAGCUGGCCCCUGCAGUAGAGAUUCCUGACUCACUCAGGAGUCAAAUUCUAACAGGUAAUCUGUUUCUCACUCAGCAAUUAAUAAAAACAAAUCUAUAUUGACAGGCUUAAGGCUUAAAUAAAUAAUAGAGAAAUAGAUGGGGGAGGAAAUAAACAACAAAUAAAUAAAAUAAAUGAGGUUGAUGGUGGUGGUGAUGAUGAUUGUGAUGUAAUGGUGAUUUAAGAGAAUGAUUGUGAUUAUUAUUAUUAUUAUUAUUAUUAUUAUUAUUAUUAUUAUUAUUGUGUAAUGUGGUUCUGACCUGCUGACAAAGAUUUGCGGAUUGUGGAGAUUUUCCAUAGUUUGGAAGAUACUAAUCAGAUUUUCAGAACUCAGAGACAAGGAUUAACUUGCUGGAAUCUAAGCUAGCUGAUAGUUGGUUGCUGUUAACAAUUUGACGUUUGCUUUUACAUUUUCCAGUUUUAGAUUGAUGUUUGGGUAGUGAUAUUUCUCUUUUAGUGGACAAAAUGAUAAAAAAUGAAUAUAAAAAUAAUAUUUGACACAGUAUGUCAGUUAACUCAUCUUUAGUUUAAAACAAAGUUAGUUUUUAGUGGCUAAACGGCUGUUAGCAUCAUCACAAGCAUUAUCUAACAACUUCCCUAUGUUCAAGAACUGCUCUGCAAGUACUGGCAAAUCUCAGCUGCAGUUAAAAUUCGUGCUAAUUUCUGUAAAUCAGCCUCCAAUAGCAGGUCUAUGCUGGCUCCCAAAAGUGACCCAUGUCUGUAAAAACUUGCAGUUGGCUAUUUCAGAGCAAGAAGUAGUAAAGGAUCCUCUUUUCGAAGACGUUAUUAAGGAUACAUUGUUAGGUUGUUGUUAAAAUCUCCCUUCUCCUUCUUCAGAGUAUAUUCUUAGGUGUUCCACAAGCAACAAAAACAGAACGUCUUAUCAUUGUUUUCUCAGCUCCUCGCGAUCUUCCAUUUGCAACAUAUCUGGCUUAAUUUCUCAAGAGCCGUUUUCCUAUGCUUUGAAGAAUGCGCAGUGCCCAGAGGUUUGUGUAUAGCUGGGAAAAGCAGACAUUGGAUGCCUUCAAAUUCAUACCACUUUACCCUUGCAUGGCAUCUUUUCGGUGUAGAUGGUUUCUAAUUGUAUGUUUCUGUUAAACUGGCAUUCGGUUGCUGCAGUAGCCCUUCUUGACAGAAGCAGUUUGCUGGUUUCUCUACACAUUUGCAAACUCGUUUCGUCUUGCAUCUUCUAGAUGGUUUUCUAGUAGUUGACUUAUCCUUGUUCCUGCCAGCCCGCAGUAUCUCUACAGUCAGAAGCUUUUCCAGGAGUUAGGAGUACCGCUUUCCAAGAAACUGAAGACCCUUCGCGCGUUUGGGAUUUCUUUGCAUAACCCUUGAUAGUGUGCUCAUGCAAGCGUCUCUGCAACAAGACAAGCUGUUUCGCAUCAGAACGGCCAUCAAAUCCGGUCUGCCGCCCCAUUCUCUCUAGAAGAGUUUGUGCUUUCUCCCUCAAGGUCAUCCAUAUCACGUUGCUGGGUCUGGCUAAAAUCUGUUAAAAUGUUAAGAUACUGCGUAUUAGACUAAGGCUGUUGCACAGAUAUGCGGUUCUAGUCUUUGUUAUUUGAUGAUGGACCAGCAUUUCUUUUUAAAUGACUAAAAGGAAUAUGCAGAUUCCCCUAGUUUUCACUUUUCUCUGUUGGUUUUUGGGGGGUUCUCAUAAUGAGUGGUUUGCAGACGACAGAAAUUCAGUUCCUACAUUCACUGCUCUUUAUGAACUCUACCCAAUUGUCGUUUGGGGCAGCAGAUGGUCCCAGAAAUAUUAUGGCGUUUUGUGAGCUGCCAUAGUGGAAAUAAUUUACAGUUUGUGCAUUUAUUGUUUAACUUGAUCCUAAAAUCCUCAAAUGCAAGUAUCAAAGCUAUGCUAGCAGGAAUUCAGUUUCACAUUCGAUGUAAAGAUCCAGCAUCCCAUAGUCUUCUGGGAAGUCCUUCCAUUCAGCUGGUCCUCAAUGGCUUUAAACGGCGCAUCCUCAAGGCAACGAUAAGACUCCUCACACAAUUCACUGGUGCAUUAAGUGUUUUCAUUUAUAUUGAUAUGUUGGAAGAAGUUCUGUUUGUCUGGCUUUUACAGGUUUCUCAGGUGUGAAUAUGCAUGCAGAUCUCAUCUUAAUCCUCAGCAUAAUCUUCCCUUCUCUGAUUUAACCUUAGAAAAUCACAUCACAUGUGCUCAAUAUUCUUGACACACUCAUAAUCUGAUAGAUCUCACCAAGGCACUCAAAUUUCAUUGCUAUGACUAACACUACAUUUUGUCCUUUCUCUUCUAUGAUGAAAUCCCUGCAUCAUCGCUCCAACCCAUCGGUUGGCUCCCUUGUUCAUUGUCGUUGGUUGCAACCCAUGGCGAGAUCCCGGUUCUGCUUAAGAUGUGUGAUGUCUGCUGAGCUGUGGCCUAACGCGAACGCUAUCCCUUCACCAUCUAAGAUGCUCAGCUACAACCACAGCUGUCCAUCUGCCCGCAUCAACCAAUCUACCAAGGCUAAUGUCAGGCUCCACAAGAAGGAAUUUUGGCCAUGCAAACUCAUGAGCUCCUGCUCCCCUUAAUACAUUUAUCUGCUGACACCCCAACUGGUCGAGGCAGACGACCACCCACCUGGAGCCGUUUCCUAGGUUUCUGCCACUUAAAAGGCAGUUUUUCCUUGCCCCCGUCGCCAAGUGCUUGUUCAUGAUGGUACUGUUGGGUCUCUGUAAACAAUGUUAUAAGGAGUCGGUCUAGACCUUCUCUAUUUGAGAGUGUCCUGAGAUAACUUAUGUUAUGAAGUGGUGCUAUACAAAUUGAAUUGAUUAAUCAUAUAUUUGCAAAUCAGGUGGUUGCUGGGUUUAGACUAUCUAUAUCUUUGCUAUAUGGGAAAUGUUCCUGCAUAAUACUUUGCUAAGUAGCAGUUCACUAGAUAGUGUAUUCCGCUGGGGCCUAGGUGCUUCAGGGGAAUGGCCACACGGCGGCCAAGGUGCCAAGCUAAGGUCUCACAUUGCAGUUUCGUCACUAGAUAGUAUAUUCCACUGGGGCCAAGGUGCUUCAGGGGGAAUGGCCACACCGCGGCGGUGUAAGGUCCACACAUAGAAGUUCACUAAGUAGUGUAUUCCGCUGGAGCCAAGGUGCUUCAGGGGAAUGGCCACACCGCAGCUGUGUAAGGUCCACACAUAGAAGAUUGUUUUGGGUAUUUGCGCAUCACUCCCCAAUAUCUCAUGUAAACAUAUCCGCGGGGAUUGAUGAGGUCGGAGCCUAGACGCCAAAAUGUAAAUAUGCUAUACUGUUUAAUAAACAUUCCACGUGAGUUGGCUGACUGAA